GUUUGUGGGGGGUCGCACGUCUGCGUGGCUGGUUCUGGCUGCGCUGGCGGUGGGUGGGGAGGGGGCCAGUCCCUGCAGCUGUCAGGAGAGAGACCUCCACCAGCGGCUGCUUCCAAAACCCUCCCUCCUGCCUUCGCGGGAGCUGGGGCCAGGCGACUUUGGGAGCAAGUCCUGAUCCCUGGGGACCCUCGACGGGGGCGGGGAGAGGAAAAGCAGGUGGGGGCUGCGCCGCAGGCCGCAGUUCUGACUCUCCACACCUCUUAUGGCCCCAGGCCCGCCCUCCACACCCCUAGGAUCUGGGAAAGGGAAGGCCUCACACUCUCCUGCCUUGGAUCUUUUGAACAUAAAGUUGCGCUGCCAUUUCCUGAAGCUGCGCACAAACUUUAAUCAUUGUUGUGUCAGUUAUUCACUUCUGGGCUCGCGAUGUCGCUGACAGCACAGUGUCAACCCCUCGUGAAAACACUUAAAAAUGGCGAAGCUGUCCCCGAGGCUGCAUGCUUCUAGAUGAAGGGCCCUGGCCGCACAGGGGCAGGUGGAGGAAAGUGCAGAGAGGGAUUUGCUGCGGAAUUUCCAGCCCAAUCCCUGCUGUGGGAAAUGGAAGAAUGAGGCUGGUUCCAGUUUGCUAGCUUUAUUUUAUUUUAUUUUGUUUUAUUUUAUCUUAUUUUAUUAUUUUAUUUUUCAAGAUGGAAUCUGGCUCUGUUACCCAGGCUGGAGCACAAUCUGGGCUCACUGCAACCCGGGUUCAAGCAAGUCUCCUGCCUCAGCUUCCCAAGUAGCUGGGAUUACAGGCACAUGCCACCACGCCCAGUUAUUUUUUUGUAUUUUUAGUAGAAACGGGAUUUCACCAUGUUGGCCAGGCUGGUCUCGAACUCUUGACCCGUGAUCCGCCCACCUUGGCCUCCCAAAGUGCUGGGAUUACAGGCGUGAGCCACUGCACCCAGCCCCAGCCUGCUUUCUUAAAUCCAGGAACGGGACUCUAACAAGCCCAACAGGUCUCAGCUCCAAGGCCCCCUUCCCGGCUGCUCACUGGCCCCUGCCGAGAGGGGUCUUUUGGGUACAGAAGCACUGACUUCUCUGUGUUCCUGGGGUUCCUGUCCGAGCCUGUGCUCUGCACACGUGCCCCUUCCCACGUGUCCCUUCCAUGGAUUAAUUUAGGAGUUAAUUCAUGAAGAGGUGCCCAGAGCUUGGCCCGGCCCCUGGUGAGAGGCAUUAUUUUUAUUCUUCCCCCUCCAGAGCAGGGGUCUUGUCUGUCUUCUCCUUGGUGGUGUACUGGAUGAAGUAGGUGCUCAGCAAAUGUAGGAGGAGGUGCACGCUCCACAUCUGCAAAGUCCAUGCACCCACUGUGGCCAGCACUCCAUCACUGCCUUGGGACAGUGCCCGGCCCUCCCUGUCUUUCCUUCCUGAGCUUUGGAACUAAGCAGUGAGAGUGGUUCAUGGUCGCAAUCCCUUCGAUAUCUGUGAAGAUCUUAUCUGAGGAUAUCUUGGUGCUGAUCACCUCUGAGAAGCAUAAAGUUGCUUCUCAGCAUCUUUAUUUUUUCAUCAAACGUUGAUCUUGACUCACUGGAUCCGAUUGAUUCAGGAUAAGCCACACCCUAUUGCCAUUUUCGGCACUCUCCUCUAUUAUCUGGGGCAUAAAAUUAACAUUUAAUUUUCUUCUUUUUCUUUUAAGAGACAAGGUCUUGCUCUGUGACCCAGGCUGGAGUGCAGUGGCACGAUCUCAGCUCACUGUAGCCUCCAACUGCCGGGUUCAAGGGAUCCUUCCACCUCAGCUUCUGGAGGAGCUGGGACCACAGAGGUUUUCGAAAAUUAGUUUGUUGCCAUUUCCGAACUUCCAUCCCAUUGUGAUGUGCAUAACCAGUCGGCUUCCUUAGCCUCAUCCUCCACCCAGAGAAGCUCCGACCAUGCCAGAACCAGGAAGGCCAGCCGGGGAGCAGCCUGGCCCAGGGGUCAGGAGCCGGGGCCUGUGUGGCUGGGGCCUGUGUGGCCAGCACCUGGUGGAUGUGAGCCCCAGGACAGGGAGUUUCUGUGCCCAGGAGAUGGAAGCAGCUCACUUCUCCGCCCCUUUCAAGAAUCUGGGAAGAGCUCCAGGAGUGAGAGGUCUGGGUGCCAGUCCCAGCUCUGCUCCAAACUGGCCAUGUGACCUCAGCGAAGUUAUUUCCCAGCUUUGUUUUCUUCGUUUACAAAAUGACAGGGUGAGAGUCGUGAUUGGUUUCCUCGGUGUCAGAAGUGCAGGACGCUGAACUCUGUUAGAAAGAGUCUCAGGUUGUUUUGUUUGACAGUGACUACCCACUUUGCAGAGACGUGGGCUGCCUGCUCUCUGGGGAAUACUGGAGGUUAUGCCCCAUCUCCUGUCCUGUGGGAGAACCCACCCUCCGAACGAGGCUCUGGUGAGGUUUUCACAAUCAGUAACAAGGAUGAUCUCCAUCGAUGGAAGUCUCCCUGUUUGAGAUGGGGUGCGUGCUCCCCACCCAGGCUCCUGAACAAAACCCACCUCCUUGUCUUGGCACCACUGAGAGUGCACACCGAGGGGGCCCUGGCACCAGAUUGUGGGAACGGUCAUGAGAAAGCAGCUCAGACUUCACACCCAGAGCCCUUGAUCCCUACAUACUCAGUAUUCCUUCACAGCGCUCUUCCUGCUUCCUGGACAUGUGGAACUGCUUCUCCAUUGGGGAGGAUCCAUCCAGAGCCCUUUGGGUGGGUGCUCAGGGCAAUAGCUGCUGCCUCUUCCUUCUGCUCAGCGCUGGGAGGCUUUACACUCUCCCCAUAUGGCACAGAGCAGAACGUGCACCUUUGGCUCUGGAAGGAAUGAACAUCCUGCCCGUUAGUUAGCCCUGGGAGUCACUGACUCAGUUCUUCCCUGGACACCAAUGUCCUACAGAGCACACAGAAAGCCACAGAAGUGUGGUCUGCGGCUUGAGGUGGGUAUUCAGAUGCCAGCCUGCAGCCCACUUACAUUGUUUCUUUUGGACUGACACCUUGCGGGAUGCUCAGAUGCCCACAGCGCAGGGUAAGGGACGGCCUAGAGUCCGAGAUGUGGGCGGGGAGCUGGCCCCUGUCCAUUGCCGCAGCUCUGCAGCAGCAGGACAGCCCUGGGAGGUGGAGAUGGACUCCGUUCAUUUGGAUAAGCAGAGGAAACUUGGCAGAAACGACCAAAUGCAAAAUACGUGUCGCAGCCUGAGAUCAGCCGUCUACUGAAACAAAGGAUGCAGUUCAGUCGGAAACCAUGCUUAGCUGUGUUGCUGUCCUUAGCCAUCAAGGCCCUGAGAACCAAUGAACAAUUCAGCUUGGCCGCUUAGAACAUUUUUUCUAUACUUGAGUUAAAUAGAUAUCCAAGAACCAUUACUCAUUUUUAAUGUGGAGAAGUCAGUAUUCUAUUCUCGUAUUCUAUGUUUUUUAAAGUGGCAAUUUGAAUUAUUUCGUGCGAUAGAAAACCUUAAACACAAAGUAACGUUUCUAACAAAAGGGCUGUCGAUCAAGUGACAAACACGUCCUACUUUAGAUACGAGCACGACUGAGGCAACAGCAUGAAAACGCCUAAAAUGGGCUGCUGGGGAGACAAGAUCUGGCCGCGAAUGGAACUCACAGCAGCUCAUUAACGGGACCGUCCGGCAGGAAGGUGGGUUGGCAGCCUUCUCCCAGGGCUCCCCACGAUCCCUACCCCUGGUGUGGUGUGGCCUUCCUCCUCACAUGUCGUCUGGACCAAGCAGUGCGUUGUUCUCAUCCAUAAAGGGUGAUGGGCCGGGCACGAUGGCUACACCUGUGAUGCCAGCACCGUGGGAGGCUGAGGCAGGAGGAUCUCCUGAGCCCAGGAGUUUGAGACCAGCCUGGGUAGCAUAGGGAGACCCUGUCUCUACAGAAAAAAAGUUAGCCAGGUGUGGUGGCCCACGCCUGUGGUCCCAGGUAUUCAGGAGGCUGAGGUGGGAGGAUCGCUUGAACCCAGGAGGUGGAGACUGCAGUGAGUCGUGAUCGCACCACUGCACUCCAACCUGGGCAACAGACUGAGACCCAGUUUCUAAAAAAAAUAAUAAAAAGGCGGGGUGCAGUGGCUCAUACCUGUAAUCCCAGCACGUUGGGAGGCCAAGGUGGGCGGAUCACUUGAGGUCAGGAGUUCAAGACCAGCCUGGCCCACAUGGUAAAACCCCGUCUCUACUAAAAUACAAAAAUCAAUCAGGCACGGUGGCACACGCCUGUAAUCCCAGUUCUUCAGGAGGCCGAGGCAGGACAACUGGGAGGCAGAGAUUGCAGUGAGCUGAGAUUGUGCCACUGCACUCCAGCCUGGGUGACAGAGCUAGACACCAUCUCGAAAAAAAAUAAAAAUAAAAUAAAAAGAGUGAUGAGACAUCCUGAGAUUGAUUUAUAAAAUGCCGUGAUUCAGGUCUCAGGGCACUCUCGCCCCCACUCACUUUGAUGAAGCCAGUGCUGGGUCGCCUGCCGAGGUGGGGAGGCUCAUGGGCCAGGAACUGAAGACAGCUGUGAGAGCCAGACCGCUCCACCACCCCCAAGACAGCAGGGAACUCACUCCAACAGCCACCCUGCGAUGCUGCCACAGCUGAGCCUGGAGGUGACCGUGACCCUGGCUGACAUCGGACUGCAGCUUUGUAAGAGAGACUGAGCCGGGACCCAGACCUACAAAAGCUGAGAUGAUAAACACUGUUUUAAGCUGCUGUGUGUCGCAGUGACUCGUGUGGCAGUGGAUUUCUAGCAGAGCCGUCAUUUGUGUCUGGCUUCUCUCAGCUCAACACUCUGUAGAGCCACCCACGCUGUUGUGCAUGUCAGCAGUGGAUUUUUUAUUGCUGAGUAAUAUUUCAUUCCAUUGCAUGCUCACACCUCAGUUUGUUUAACUGUCUACCUGUUGAUGAGCUCGGGGACAUAUGCAGUUCUGGGCUAUUAUGAGUAAAGCCGCUUUUAACAUUUAAAUACAAGUCUGUGUAUGGACACAUGUUUUCAUUUCUUUUGAAUAAAUAUGUGUGGGAUUACUGGG
Molecule: long non-coding RNA, 4981 nt
Organism: Symphalangus syndactylus (siamang)
Lineage: Eukaryota; Metazoa; Chordata; Mammalia; Primates; Hylobatidae
Source: RefSeq, a predicted model, not a curated record